RNAcentral lists this ribosomal RNA (2920 nucleotides) under Staphylococcus aureus subsp. aureus CIG1242. RNAcentral describes it as "bacterial LSU rRNA". It matches the Rfam family "Bacterial large subunit ribosomal RNA". The record is from RNAcentral. Lineage: Bacteria; Bacillati; Bacillota; Bacilli; Caryophanales; Staphylococcaceae.
UAAGUUAUUAAGGGCGCACGGUGGAUGCCUUGGCACUAGAAGCCGAUGAAGGACGUUACUAACGACGAUAUGCUUUGGGGAGCUGUAAGUAAGCUUUGAUCCAGAGAUUUCCGAAUGGGGAAACCCAGCAUGAGUUAUGUCAUGUUAUCGAUAUGUGAAUACAUAGCAUAUCAGAAGGCACACCCGGAGAACUGAAACAUCUUAGUACCCGGAGGAAGAGAAAGAAAAUUCGAUUCCCUUAGUAGCGGCGAGCGAAACGGGAAGAGCCCAAACCAACAAGCUUGCUUGUUGGGGUUGUAGGACACUCUAUACGGAGUUACAAAGGACGACAUUAGACGAAUCAUCUGGAAAGAUGAAUCAAAGAAGGUAAUAAUCCUGUAGUCGAAAAUGUUGUCUCUCUUGAGUGGAUCCUGAGUACGACGGAGCACGUGAAAUUCCGUCGGAAUCUGGGAGGACCAUCUCCUAAGGCUAAAUACUCUCUAGUGACCGAUAGUGAACCAGUACCGUGAGGGAAAGGUGAAAAGCACCCCGGAAGGGGAGUGAAAUAGAACCUGAAACCGUGUGCUUACAAGUAGUCAGAGCCCGUUAAUGGGUGAUGGCGUGCCUUUUGUAGAAUGAACCGGCGAGUUACGAUUUGAUGCAAGGUUAAGCAGUAAAUGUGGAGCCGUAGCGAAAGCGAGUCUGAAUAGGGCGUUUAGUAUUUGGUCGUAGACCCGAAACCAGGUGAUCUACCCUUGGUCAGGUUGAAGUUCAGGUAACACUGAAUGGAGGACCGAACCGACUUACGUUGAAAAGUGAGCGGAUGAACUGAGGGUAGCGGAGAAAUUCCAAUCGAACCUGGAGAUAGCUGGUUCUCUCCGAAAUAGCUUUAGGGCUAGCCUCAAGUGAUGAUUAUUGGAGGUAGAGCACUGUUUGGACGAGGGGCCCCUCUCGGGUUACCGAAUUCAGACAAACUCCGAAUGCCAAUUAAUUUAACUUGGGAGUCAGAACAUGGGUGAUAAGGUCCGUGUUCGAAAGGGAAACAGCCCAGACCACCAGCUAAGGUCCCAAAAUAUAUGUUAAGUGGAAAAGGAUGUGGCGUUGCCCAGACAACUAGGAUGUUGGCUUAGAAGCAGCCAUCAUUUAAAGAGUGCGUAAUAGCUCACUAGUCGAGUGACACUGCGCCGAAAAUGUACCGGGGCUAAACAUAUUACCGAAGCUGUGGAUUGUCCUUUGGACAAUGGUAGGAGAGCGUUCUAAGGGCGUUGAAGCAUGAUCGUAAGGACAUGUGGAGCGCUUAGAAGUGAGAAUGCCGGUGUGAGUAGCGAAAGACGGGUGAGAAUCCCGUCCACCGAUUGACUAAGGUUUCCAGAGGAAGGCUCGUCCGCUCUGGGUUAGUCGGGUCCUAAGCUGAGGCCGACAGGCGUAGGCGAUGGAUAACAGGUUGAUAUUCCUGUACCACCUAUAAUCGUUUUAAUCGAUGGGGGGGACGCAGUAGGAUAGGCGAAGCGUGCGAUUGGAUUGCACGUCUAAGCAGUAAGGCUGAGUAUUAGGCAAAUCCGGUACUCAUUAAGGCUGAGCUGUGAUGGGGAGAAGACAUUGUGUCUUCGAGUCGUUGAUUUCACACUGCCGAGAAAAGCCUCUAGAUAGAAAAUAGGUGCCCGUACCGCAAACCGACACAGGUAGUCAAGAUGAGAAUUCUAAGGUGAGCGAGCGAACUCUCGUUAAGGAACUCGGCAAAAUGACCCCGUAACUUCGGGAGAAGGGGUGCUCUUUAGGGUUAACGCCCAGAAGAGCCGCAGUGAAUAGGCCCAAGCGACUGUUUUAUCAAAAACACAGGUCUCUGCUAAACCGUAAGGUGAUGUAUAGGGGCUGACGCCUGCCCGGUGCUGGAAGGUUAAGAGGAGUGGUUAGCUUCUGCGAAGCUACGAAUCGAAGCCCCAGUAAACGGCGGCCGUAACUAUAACGGUCCUAAGGUAGCGAAAUUCCUUGUCGGGUAAGUUCCGACCCGCACGAAAGGCGUAACGAUUUGGGCACUGUCUCAACAAGAGACUCGGUGAAAUCAUAGUACCUGUGAAGAUGCAGGUUACCCGCGACAGGACGGAAAGACCCCGUGGAGCUUUACUGUAGCCUGAUAUUGAAAUUCGGCACAGCUUGUACAGGAUAGGUAGGAGCCUUUGAAACGUGAGCGCUAGCUUACGUGGAGGCGCUGGUGGGAUACUACCCCUAGCUGUGUUGGCUUUCUAACCCGCACCACUUAUCGUGGUGGGAGACAGUGUCAGGCGGGCAGUUUGACUGGGGCGGUCGCCUCCUAAAAGGUACGGAGGCGCUCAAAGGUUCCCUCAGAAUGGUUGGAAAUCAUUCAUAGAGUGUAAAGGCAUAAGGGAGCUUGACUGCGAGACCUACAAGUCGAGCAGGGUCGAAAGACGGACUUAGUGAUCCGGUGGUUCCGCAUGGAAGGGCCAUCGCUCAACGGAUAAAAGCUACCCCGGGGAUAACAGGCUUAUCUCCCCCAAGAGUUCACAUCGACGGGGAGGUUUGGCACCUCGAUGUCGGCUCAUCGCAUCCUGGGGCUGUAGUCGGUCCCAAGGGUUGGGCUGUUCGCCCAUUAAAGCGGUACGCGAGCUGGGUUCAGAACGUCGUGAGACAGUUCGGUCCCUAUCCGUCGUGGGCGUAGGAAUUUGAGAGGAGCUGUCCUUAGUACGAGAGGACCGGGAUGGACAUACCUCUGGUGUACCAGUUGUCGUGCCAACGGCAUAGCUGGGUAGCUAUGUGUGGACGGGAUAAGUGCUGAAAGCAUCUAAGCAUGAAGCCCCCCUCAAGAUGAGAUUUCCCAACUUCGGUUAUAAGAUCCCUCAAAGAUGAUGAGGUUAAUAGGUUCGAGGUGGAAGCAUGGUGACAUGUGGAGCUGACGAAUACUAAUCGAUCGAAGACUUAAUCA